Molecule: long non-coding RNA, 998 nt
Organism: Mesocricetus auratus (golden hamster)
Lineage: Eukaryota; Metazoa; Chordata; Mammalia; Rodentia; Cricetidae
Exons: 3
Source: RefSeq, a predicted model, not a curated record
GUUUCUGGGACCUGGAACGUGAGAGAUGAAAAGUAGUAUCUCAGCACCAUGCAUCACAGCCAGGCCAGGCAGAACUAAACCAAGUGCUACCUGUGACUCAACCAGGAGCCCGUCAGAUGUCAAGGGACCAUUAUGGUCAUGUAGAGAGGACCGUGGUCUGUGCUGCUGCCCAAACGCCCUGUUGGUGUCCGUGGUCUGUUCUGCCUCCGAAAAUGAUGUGAAGUUCACGAUCCAUGCUGCCUGUGGCUGUUACCGGCAAGGAAGCUUCUUUUGCAGUGGUGUAGUUGACAACGAGAGACAUUGGAGUCUUCUGUGACAAUCUUGCUUCUCUCAAGCCCACCUCAAAAUGGAGCAGCUGAACCGGAAAGGAGGACGUGCAGAGGGGAACCAGUGUGGACUGUGGGUGUGGCACUCUCACUCAGAGCUGCUGGCUGUCACUCCCGUACGGAUGCUGCAGGGUGCCACGGAGCAAGAGAGAGGCCGCCCCCAUGGACCUGGCGCUUCCUCAUGGCUGCUCUCCCUCACAGCCACCUACCUCAUCUGAGACUGUGAGCCUGGUCCUUACCCCAGAAAGCCUUGCUCAGGGCUUUCUAAUGGAGCCUUCACAGGAGGAGGGGCCAGCAGGGCGAGAGGUGUCCUCGGGAGUCAAAGUCCCCGAGGACGCUGCAGUCCUUCCUUGUGGUCCCAGCUCUGAGUAAGCACGGUGCCUGAGCUUUAGUAUCGGGUUCUCCUCCCAGAACAGGGACCGCAGAGAUUCUGUCUCCAGGACCUGGCUUAGAGGAACGGGGGACAGGACCUUCCCUUCCUUGGAGGUUCCCAGUCCUGAAAUUCUGCGGCUCUGAGCAUCUGGUGUGGCCUUUGCUGACGGCCCAUCCAUACCCCCGGGGUGUCCAUAGCUUUAGCUAGUCAGGGGAUAGUACAAAACUACAGGAUAAAUACAUAAACCUUGGUGGGCUGUCCUUAUCAGUGGUGUAGGGAGGGGAGAGGAUUUAAAAAUA